AAAAUGGCCAUUUUCAUGGCCAUUUUCAGAGAAAAAAAAAACAUCU
This is a non-coding RNA of Pygoscelis adeliae (Adelie penguin), 46 nucleotides long. Lineage: Eukaryota; Metazoa; Chordata; Aves; Sphenisciformes; Spheniscidae. The record is from Rfam.